Molecule: ribosomal RNA, 397 nt
Filed under: uncultured bacterium
Lineage: Bacteria
Description: partial 16S ribosomal RNA
Rfam family: Bacterial small subunit ribosomal RNA
Source: RNAcentral
AUACGUAGGUGACAAGCGUUAUCCGGAUUUACUGGGCGUAAAGGGCGUGUAGGCGGUCUUGCAAGUCAGAAGUGAAAUUCCUGAGCUCAACUCGGGCGCUGCUUCUGAAACUGCAGGACUUGAGUGCUGGAGGGGAUAGCGGAAUUCCUAGUGGAGCGGUAAAAUGCGCAGAUAUUAGGAAGAACACCGGUGGCGAAGGCGGCUAUCUGGCCAGUAACUGACGCUGAGGCGCGAAAGCGUGGGGCGCAAACAGGAUUAGAUACCCCGGUAGUCCGGGCCGUAAACGAUGGGUACUAGAUGUGGCAGGUAUCGACUCCUUCCGUGCCGGAGUUAACGCAAUAAGUACCCCGCCUGGGGAGUUCGGCCGCAAGGCUUAAACUCAAAUGAAUUGACGGGG